Non-coding RNA from Gossypium hirsutum (cotton), 118 nucleotides. Lineage: Eukaryota; Viridiplantae; Streptophyta; Magnoliopsida; Malvales; Malvaceae. The record is from Rfam.
UGUUAUAAAUUUCAUCCAUUUUACUUUUGAAAAACAAGUGAGGCUGACAGAAACAUGUACUUCAUGGUGAUGUAUGAGGAUUGGUUUUUAACAGUAGAAAUGAAUGGAAUUUAUAACA